AGAGUUUGAUCAUGGCUCAGAUUGAACGCUGGCGGCAGGCUUAACACAUGCAAGUCGAACGAUGAUUAUCUAGCUUGCUAGAUAUGAUUAGUGGCGGACGGGUGAGUAACAUUUAGGAAUCUGCCUAGUAGUGGGGGAUAGCUCGGGGAAACUCGAAUUAAUACCGCAUACGACCUACGGGUGAAAGGGGGCGCAAGCUCUUGCUAUUAGAUGAGCCUAAAUCAGAUUAGCUAGUUGGUGGGGUAAAGGCCCACCAAGGCGACGAUCUGUAACUGGUCUGAGAGGAUGAUCAGUCACACCGGAACUGAGACACGGUCCGGACUCCUACGGGAGGCAGCAGUGGGGAAUAUUGGACAAUGGGGGCAACCCUGAUCCAGCCAUGCCGCGUGUGUGAAGAAGGCCUUUUGGUUGUAAAGCACUUUAAGCAGGGAGGAGAGGCUAAUGGUUAAUACCCAUUAGAUUAGACGUUACCUGCAGAAUAAGCACCGGCUAACUCUGUGCCAGCAGCCGCGGUAAUACAGAGGGUGCGAGCGUUAAUCGGAAUUACUGGGCGUAAAGCGAGUGUAGGUGGCUCAUUAAGUCACAUGUGAAAUCCCCGGGCUUAACCUGGGAACUGCAUGUGAUACUGGUGGUGCUAGAAUAUGUGAGAGGGAAGUAGAAUUCCAGGUGUAGCGGUGAAAUGCGUAGAGAUCUGGAGGAAUACCGAUGGCGAAGGCAGCUUCCUGGCAUAAUAUUGACACUGAGAUUCGAAAGCGUGGGUAGCAAACAGGAUUAGAUACCCUGGUAGUCCACGCCGUAAACGAUGUCUACUAGCCGUUGGGGUCCUUGAGACUUUAGUGGCGCAGUUAACGCGAUAAGUAGACCGCCUGGGGAGUACGGCCGCAAGGUUAAAACUCAAAUGAAUUGACGGGGGCCCGCACAAGCGGUGGAGCAUGUGGUUUAAUUCGAUGCAACGCGAAGAACCUUACCUGGUCUUGACAUAGUGAGAAUCCUGCAGAGAUGCGGGAGUGCCUUCGGGAAUUCACAUACAGGUGCUGCAUGGCUGUCGUCAGCUCGUGUCGUGAGAUGUUGGGUUAAGUCCCGCAACGAGCGCAACCC
Molecule: ribosomal RNA, 1098 nt
Filed under: Corynebacterium durum
Lineage: Bacteria; Bacillati; Actinomycetota; Actinomycetes; Mycobacteriales; Corynebacteriaceae
Also listed under: 1 other name
Description: bacterial SSU rRNA
Rfam family: Bacterial small subunit ribosomal RNA
Source: RNAcentral